RNAcentral lists this microRNA (22 nucleotides) under Mesocestoides corti. Its description in RNAcentral is "mco-bantam-3p". Its record names the gene mco-bantam-3p. Lineage: Eukaryota; Metazoa; Platyhelminthes; Cestoda; Cyclophyllidea; Mesocestoididae. The record is from miRBase by way of RNAcentral.
UGAGAUCGCGAUUAAAGCUGAU